AUUGCAACGUGCUUUCAUACUCCCCAAAGGCAUAUAUACCAUAAACCAGCAAAUGUUUAAAGAUCAAAAUGAGAGCCUGGACAACUUGCUUCCUAAAGUCUGUCUAAAACUCUUGUCAACAAAUAACGUGCAGGGUUAACAUCCGGAGGUCAAAACAUCUCUCAAGAACCUCUUUGCCUUGGCUUCUCAGAGCCACCUUUGGAUUAUACAGUAAUUUCACCCGCCGCGACACCUCACUUUAUUCAUCAUAUCAGUCAUUCACCGAUUGGCUCUUCCUCAGACGGGAUGAGUGGCGACCACUUACCGUAUUCCAAACGAAGCCUGAGGAAAGACAAGCCCAGGCCGGCUUUCUGUUCCCACAAGGAUACAGUCACAGAAGCAGAGCUGAGCCUGGUGUGGAUCAACUGACCUCCAGCCGAUCCCUAGAUGCGUGAGCAAGCCCAGCCAAGAUCAGCACAGCCCAGCCAAGAUCAUCUGAGCCUGGACCAGACUAUCUGAUCCGUGGACACAAGAUACAGAAUAAACCCUCUUUGUGGUGCCACUUCCAUCCUCACUUCACAGUUGAAGGAACUGAGGCACAGAGAGGCUAAGGGAUCACUCCAGCUACACAACCAAGAUGAAGGGGAGCCAGAAUUUGAACCCAAGUAGUCUGGUUCUAGAGUCCAUGGUCUACAGCACUUUCCUUUUCUCCCUCUGAGUCCCAGAAAUGUCCACAGUCACACUGGACAGAAAAGUGAUCAGACAACAAACUCCAUGCUUUGUUUUGGGUUUGGAAUUUUACUUUAUGUUUUUUCCAAUCAUUAAAAAAAAUGCACAUUCAUCACAAAAAAUUUGGAAAUUCAGGAAAAAAUAAUGAAGAAUAUUAAAUCACCUAGGAGUACUAUU
Molecule: long non-coding RNA, 885 nt
Filed under: Equus caballus (horse)
Lineage: Eukaryota; Metazoa; Chordata; Mammalia; Perissodactyla; Equidae
Description: lncRNA (ENSECAG00000048851.1)
Source: RNAcentral